GUUAAUACGUUGAAGAGAAGAGUAAAAUGCGGAAUAACCCAGAGAGGGAUUGGUGCUGGAAAUAUCCUGUUAGGAAACAUUUGAAAACUGCCUCUGAGUGACCCUAAUCCGGUCCGGUGAUCCCGUUAUCAUCAAAAUGAAGUGGUUUCUUAGAAACAAUCAGGGUGGAACCGCGAGUAAGAAUACUCGUCCCUGGA
This 197-nucleotide non-coding RNA is filed under the name Robinsoniella sp. Its description in RNAcentral is "T-box sequence". It matches the Rfam family "T-box leader". Rfam says of the family: Uncharged tRNA acts as the effector for transcription antitermination of genes in the T-box leader family. T-boxes are found upstream of many aminoacyl-tRNA synthetase genes and some amino acid biosynthetic genes usually in Gram-positive bacteria. The anticodon of a specific tRNA base pairs to a specifier sequence within the T-box motif, and the NCCA acceptor tail of the tRNA base pairs to a conserved bulge in the T-box antiterminator hairpin. The record is from RNAcentral. Lineage: Bacteria; Bacillati; Bacillota; Clostridia; Lachnospirales; Lachnospiraceae.